UUCUUUACAUUAUUUGUUAUUUUAAUAGGUUAAAAGAUAAGCAAUAUUAGUAGAACAGAAGUGGAGUAAAGUGAUCCUUAGGUUUUACUUUUUGUAUAACGGUUAAACUAGAAUAAAAUUUAUAAAAAUAUUCCCGAAACAAAAAGAUCUAAUUUAUAAAAUUAUUUUAGUAUGUAAAUUUAAUGUAACAAUAUUAAUGAAAGAUUAUAAUUUAGGGGCGAAAAGCUUUUCAAUUUUUGUGAUAUCUGGAUGAGGGGUAAAAGUAUUUAGUGCUUAAGUACAGACGUAUGGUGUUGAGAUCCUAUGUUGUGAGAAUUUUUUAUAAUAAUUAAAAUUACAUUUUAGAGUUAACACUCUUAAAUUAACAAAGAUAAUAAAAUCAAAUAAAGGUAAGAAUCUCUUUAUUAACCCUUCUAUCUUAAGGAAUUUUCUUUUUGGUUAAUAAUGUUUAAAUUAGUAAUAGAAACACAAGGUUUAUAAAUUUUAAACUUAUUUUAAGGAAUUCGGCAAAUAUAAGCCUCACCUGUUUAACAAAAACAUAGUCUAAGGAGCAAUAAUAAUCUUAGAUAAAACCUGCCCAGUGUUGUGAGUUAUUUAAUCAACGGCCGCAGUACUUUGACUGUGCUAAGGUAGCGUAAUCAGUUGGCUUUUAAUUGAAGUCGUGUAUGAAUGGAUUUUUGGGGCUUAACUGUCUUGAUAAAGUUUAUUUGAAUUCAGUUAAAGGGUGAAAAUACCCUUAAGUAAUAGAUAAAGGACGAUAAGACCCUCGGAGUUUUUACUAGUUGGUUAUUCUAGAGAAUUAACCUAAGGUUUUUGCUGGGGCGGCAAUAGAGGAAUUUUAAAUCCCUCUUUAAGGAUUAGCCGAUAGUUUUAAGUAAAUUUAAACUACCCAAGGGAUAACAGCAUAAUUUUAUAUAAAGUUUGUGACCUCGAUGUUGGACUAGGAAUUUACUAGAUUAGCCGUUUAGAUAUAUUGUUCUGUUCGAACUAACUUUCCUACAUGAUCUGAGUUCAGACCGGCGUAAGCCAGGUCAGAUUCUAUCCUUAUAUUUUGCAUCUUUAGUACGAAAGGACCAAGAUGUUGUAUUUUUUAUA
Molecule: ribosomal RNA, 1095 nt
Filed under: Ascobulla fragilis
Lineage: Eukaryota; Metazoa; Mollusca; Gastropoda; Volvatellidae
Description: large subunit ribosomal RNA
Rfam family: Archaeal large subunit ribosomal RNA (bases 467-1095)
Source: RNAcentral